CAAGACACUCUUAAACAACUCGAAAGGAAGACAUGAUGAGUGCUUGAAAUUUGGAGCUUAGCUUUUGGAUUUUCUUGCCGUAAUUGAAUGUUUGUGAGUGUUGUAGCGCCUACUCUCUGGCCAAUAACUUAUAUAGAGGUUAUAAUGCCAAUCUGUGGACCAGCGUCUCAGAAGAAUAGAUUUGCUGCUGAGAAAGAUGCCACAACAUCAGUGAACAGACUCAAAGAACAUUUGUUUGAACACACGACAUGUAUUUAUAAUAUAACACUCAGGUUUCAUGAACCUUUUCCCUUGGUUUUCAACAAGAAAAUCCAAGAACAGACUCAAGGGGGCUCGCCAGUCCAAACCCUCCUCAGAAUCACCGGAAGUCCGGGACAGAUCCAGAAUACAAGCACCAAGACAUCGUCACAUCAGACAGAGGACAUCAAUCAAACUUGGAAAGGGACAAAACAACAACAAAAAAAAAAAACCUGACCUUGAACAGACAAGGUCACAAAAAUAUCAUGAAUAUCUUCAUUGUAACAACAUACAAUAAAGUUUUUAACUCAUGAAAGUAAAUUAAUCA
Molecule: long non-coding RNA, 565 nt
Organism: Myxocyprinus asiaticus (Chinese sucker)
Lineage: Eukaryota; Metazoa; Chordata; Actinopteri; Cypriniformes; Catostomidae
Exons: 3
Source: RefSeq, a predicted model, not a curated record